CUUACACCGCAUCAUCAGUAACAAAUUAAUUAUAUUUUUUUUUAAAAAAAAUAUAAUAAAAAUAUUUUUCAAUUAAUUAUGAUGAGUAAAUCCGAAAGUACUGUUUGGUUCGGGUAUAAGUAAGAACUAGCUAUUACAGGGAUAGAUACAAAUAUGGGGAUAAAAAAAAUAGCGUUUGGAUGAAAAUCGGGUUGUUUCCGGGGAUAAGAAAAAUAACGUUUGAAUAGAUAAUAUGGAAUAAGAAAAAUAUUAAGUAGUUUUAUAUAAAAAAUGGAGGUGUUGGUGGGGAUAGUUAUAACCGGUUAUUAUAGAUAACCGAGAACUGUUUUUCUUAGGUAAAAAAUUAGCGUUUGGAUAUAAAGGGAAUAAGGGACUAUUCCUAUCCCUAUCCCCUAAUCAAACACUGCCAAAGGGGACAAUCCUAUUAGUUGGGGA
This 435-nucleotide long non-coding RNA is filed under the name Ananas comosus (pineapple). Its description in RNAcentral is "long non-coding RNA (ACOM_LNC006060)". Lineage: Eukaryota; Viridiplantae; Streptophyta; Magnoliopsida; Poales; Bromeliaceae. The record is from RNAcentral.